This 484-nucleotide ribosomal RNA is filed under the name uncultured bacterium. Its description in RNAcentral is "partial 16S ribosomal RNA". It matches the Rfam family "Bacterial small subunit ribosomal RNA", at positions 28 to 523 of the family's 1533-position model. The record is from RNAcentral.
GAUGAACGCUGGCGGCGUGCUUAACACAUGCAAGUCGAACGGUGAAGCAGGAGCUUGCUCUUGUGGAUCAGUGGCGAACGGGUGAGUAACACGUGAGCAACCUGCCCCUGACUCUGGGAUAAGCGCUGGAAACGGCGUCUAAUACUGGAUAUGUGAUGUGACCGCAUGGUCUGCAUCUGGAAAGAAUUUCGGUUGGGGAUGGGCUCGCGGCCUAUCAGCUUGUUGGUGAUGUAAUGGCUCACCAAGGCGUCGACGGGUAGGCGGCCUGCGAGGGUGUUCGGCCACACUGGGACUGAGACACGGCCCAGCCGCCUACGGGAGGCAGCAGUGGGGAAUAUUGCACAAUGGGCGGAAGCCUGAUGCAGCAACGCCGCGUGAGGGAUGACGGCCUUCGGGUUGUAAACUUCUUUUAGCAGGGAAGAAGCGAAAGUGACGGUACCUGCAGAAAAAGCACCGGCUAACUACGUGCCAGCCGCCGCGGUAA